Molecule: non-coding RNA, 324 nt
Organism: Vicia faba (fava bean)
Lineage: Eukaryota; Viridiplantae; Streptophyta; Magnoliopsida; Fabales; Fabaceae
Source: the annotation of a GenBank genome assembly
CAUAUCGCGCAAAUUUUGUAUUUGGUGAUUGAGUCAAGUCUACAUAGCAUUAUGUUUAUCUUUGUUAAAGGGUCGAGUUUCAACUAUUCAAAAACCAUUACAAAGAUUUCAAUGGCCAUUACAAGUUAUGUCCAAAUAUCCAUUCAAGCUUCAAAGUUCACAUUUAAAGCUCAUAAGGAUGGCAUACAAAGUACAAUUACAUCAUUACAAGAAAUUACACAUAACAUUUUCAUUCAAAAGUUACUUCAUGCGAAACUCCAAAUUCUAGCAAAAGGAUUCGAGCACGUCAUGUAUAAGGCUAUAAACUUGUUGCUUCUAUGUUGA